RNAcentral lists this ribosomal RNA (468 nucleotides) under uncultured bacterium. RNAcentral's name for it is "partial 16S ribosomal RNA". It matches the Rfam family "Bacterial small subunit ribosomal RNA", at positions 28 to 507 of the family's 1533-position model. The record is from RNAcentral.
GACGAACGCUGGCGGCGUGCUUAACACAUGCAAGUCGAACGGAAAGGCCCUGCUUUUGUGGGGUGCUCGAGUGGCGAACGGGUGAGUAACACGUGAGUAACCUGCCCUUGACUUUGGGAUAACUUCAGGAAACUGGGGCUAAUACCGGAUAGGAGCUCCUGCUGCAUGGUGGGGGUUGGAAAGUUUCGGCGGUUGGGGAUGGACUCGCGGCUUAUCAGCUUGUUGGUGGGGUAGUGGCUUACCAAGGCUUUGACGGGUAGCCGGCCUGAGAGGGUGACCGGCCACAUUGGGACUGGGAUACGGCCCAGACUCCUACGGGAGGCAGAAGUGGGGAAUAUUGCACAAUGGGCGGAAGCCUGAUGCAGCAACGCCGCGUGCGGGAUGACGGCCUUCGGGUUGUAAACCGCUUUCGCCUGUGACGAAGCGUGAGUGACGGUAAUGGGUAAAGAAGCACCGGCUAACUACGUG